ACUGUGUACAGGAAUUCUACAUCAACUUCCUCAUCAUUUGUUACAUCAGCUGUAAAAGAUGGAUCGACUCUAACUAGGAUUUCAAUAACAUGGUCCUUGUGGUAGUAAAUUUCAAAUUGAUAAAAUGUAUAAAUGUGAUAUCUGUACUCAUUAGGGUCAUCAAUUCCGUCCUUCUCGACCUUCCCAAGGAACGCCCAUAUUGGCAAGUCAUCAUAGUACAUCUGGACGUAGUAAUCCAGUGCAACAGCGGUUCUGAAUUGUGCAACUUCCUCCUUUGUCAACCUUUUCUUACAUAUAACUUUGGCAUCUUUUUCCGCCAAAAACUCGAGCUUAUAUGGAGCAAAUAUAAG
RNAcentral lists this unclassified non-coding RNA (350 nucleotides) under Hevea brasiliensis (rubber tree). Lineage: Eukaryota; Viridiplantae; Streptophyta; Magnoliopsida; Malpighiales; Euphorbiaceae. The record is from RNAcentral.